AUUGAACGCUGGCGGCAUGCCUUACACAUGCAAGUCGAACGGCAGCGGGGGAGAAGCUUGCUUUUCCUGCCGGCGAGUGGCGAACGGGUGAGUAAUACAUCGGAACGUGCCCUGUAGUGGGGGAUAACUAGUCGAAAGAUUAGCUAAUACCGCAUACGACCUGAGGGUGAAAGUGGGGGACCGCAAGGCCUCAUGCUAUAGGAGCGGCCGAUGUCUGAUUAGCUAGUUGGUGGGGUAAAGGCCUACCAAGGCGACGAUCAGUAGCUGGUCUGAGAGGACGAUCAGCCACACUGGGACUGAGACACGGCCCAGACUCCUACGGGAGGCAGCAGUGGGGAAUUUUGGACAAUGGGCGAAAGCCUGAUCCAGCAAUGCCGCGUGUGUGAAGAAGGCCUUCGGGUUGUAAAGCACUUUUGUCCGGAAAGAAAUGGCUCUGGUUAACACCUGGGGCCGAUGACGGUACCGGAAGAAUAAGGACCGGCUAACUACGUGCCAGCCGCCGCCGUAA
This 508-nucleotide ribosomal RNA is filed under the name uncultured bacterium. RNAcentral describes it as "partial 16S ribosomal RNA". It matches the Rfam family "Bacterial small subunit ribosomal RNA", at positions 30 to 523 of the family's 1533-position model. The record is from RNAcentral.